RNAcentral lists this ribosomal RNA (422 nucleotides) under uncultured Thiobacillus sp. RNAcentral describes it as "bacterial SSU rRNA". It matches the Rfam family "Bacterial small subunit ribosomal RNA", at positions 952 to 1382 of the family's 1533-position model. The record is from RNAcentral. Lineage: Bacteria; Pseudomonadati; Pseudomonadota; Betaproteobacteria; Nitrosomonadales; Thiobacillaceae.
CGAUGCAACGCGAAAACCUUACUACCUUGACAUGUCCGGAAUCCUGCAGAGAUGCGGGAGUGCCGAAAGGGAAUCGGAACACAGGUGCUGCAUGGCUGUCGUCAGCUCGUGUCGUGAGAUGUUGGGUUAAAUCCCGCAACGAGCGCAACCCUUAUCAUUAGUUGCUACGCAAGGGCACUCUAAUGAGACUGCCGGUGACAAACCGGAGGAAGGUGGGGAUGACGUCAAGUCCUCAUGGCCCUUAUGGGUAGGGCUUCACACGUCAUACAAUGGUCGGUACAGAGGGUUGCCAAGCCGCGAGGCGGAGCCAAUCCCACAAAGCCGAUCGUAGUCCGGAUUGUUCUCUGCAACUCGAGAGCAUGAAGUCGGAAUCGCUAGUAAUCGCAGGUCAGCAUACUGCGGUGAAUACGUUCCCGGGUCUU